UCUGGGCGCCAAUAAGUUAGCAAUAUCAGAAAUUCAAGUGCACUGCAGCUAAAACUAAUGGAAAAUAAGGAGAACUUUCACAAGAAAUUGACAAAGAUUUUCAUGGAGCAGGAUAGGCGCAUGGACUUCAUUUACAAAUAAAGAUAUUCACCCCUACUUCUGAUCACAUAGCCACUUCUACUCGAUUCUGAAACCUAACGGCUCAAGUGGAGGGGACUGUGCAUAAAAAUAUUCAGCUAGGAAUACAGAAAGUUUGAGGCAACCAAUAUUGGAAUAUGUGCAUAUGAAACAGCUGUCAUAGAUGCCCAGGGACUUUGCCCCGCCGGGACGUCGGAAGAAGCAGUGGACCAGAAAUGGGACAAUAUUUUCCCUGGAUUGCAGGUGGGUGGCCGCCCUUGAGUGAGAAGAUGGAGUCACUGCCAGGGGGCGCCUGGAUGUGGUUGGAACCUUGGAUGGCAGCACUUCCGCUACACCAGAGAAACAGUAAGAGAGAGAGAGACUGAGACUGUUGAUAUUGUGGUACUGUGUACUUAA
Molecule: long non-coding RNA, 534 nt
Organism: Polypterus senegalus (gray bichir)
Lineage: Eukaryota; Metazoa; Chordata; Cladistia; Polypteriformes; Polypteridae
Exons: 3
Source: RefSeq, a predicted model, not a curated record